UCUCUGUAUCCUAGGCAUGUUCUUCAGGGGGCUGUGACUUGGGGUGCAGUGGAAGAAGGGGGCUUAUCAGCAGGAAACUAUCUCCAGAGUUGCCAGAAAUCUGGAUUAGGAUCUACAGAAAAUGUUGUCUGUCAGGGUUUGGCAAAGAUGAUUACAAGAAGACGCCGCGGAAAGAGAAGGGGAAGCUGCAGAGUAACCUCCGUGAGGAGCAGCAGAGGUGGAGAAGGUGAGCUGAGGAACUUGGCUGCUGAUUCCGAGCAGAGUUGGGGAAAGAGUUCCCGCUCCAUCAAAGAGUCAUUUGUCUAAGUCCGGUGUCUAAGAAGUGGUAUUCCCAGAAAACAUUCUCCUUUCUCUCUGGACAUGUAUCUUCCAAGGAAACAUCUCUUUAACCUGUGUCGUUGCCUUCUGGUUGGAGCAGCUUUGGAGAUGUCCUAAGGUAGGAAAAGUUAGUUUUCCCCUUCCACUCCCACAGAUUUUCUCUGGUUGCUUCUUUCUCCUCUAUCCUCUCCUUUCAGCUCCUCAAUGCCUGGGGCCCUCUCCCUCCUUCUACCUUUAUCACGCUCUCUGGAAAGUAUCUGAUAGCAGCUGUUUAUAUUUUAGGGUGAAUUAGGUUAAGGCCGUAGGCUUCUAAAAGCUACUGUCGGAAUUUGGACUAAAGUAUCUGUUUCCCCAGUGCCAUGUUUCCUUCACUGUCCCAGGUCAUACUUCUCUGUCAUUGCUUCUCAGCGUAGCUCCCUAUAAUAACUUGUUUUCCUGUUUAGUGCCCUGUGCAUGUUCCAUACCUAGCUGGGUCUGGGGAAGGGGGAGGUCCUCUGAAUGCAGUGGGGGCUCCAGAUAUGGUGGGAGGACCUAGCCUAGCCCCAGGACCCUCAUGUGGACAUGAUGUCUCCCUGGCAGGAGGACAAAGGCAGUGAGACGGACAGCAGCAGCAGUGACAAGGAGCUGGCAGGAGUGCUGGUAAAAGGCAUCAGACUGUGGUCUUGGACCCAGUACUCUGAGAGCACACAGGGAAACUGAGUCCUGGAGGGUGAAGGAACUUGCCAGAGGUCAUGUCAGGAGUCAUAGGAGAGCUGGGUUGGGCCCCAGAGCUGCUAAAUCCCAGGGCAGAAGUGAACUGAGUGGUGAGGCAUAGGACAAGCUCUGGCCAAAGGGCUGAUGUCACCCCAGGGUGGGUGGAGAGAGUGCUCAGUGUCACACAGGGAAUCAGAGCAGGGUCAGACUCAGACCAGGGUCCCUUGACUCCCAGCACAGUGCUCCUUCCACUGCCCUAAGCAGCCUGAGUUUUCUGACCUUGAGUCUGGAACCUCUGUCUAGAAGAAAACUUUGGGUCUCUCUAGAGAACCACCUAUACCUUUGAAACAGACACUGUAGAAUUACGUGUGGGACCGCAGAGAUUGGCGUGGUUCCCAGCCCUGCCCCUGAGCAGAUGGGGGACCUUGAGUACAUCUCUUACUGCCUUUGUGGCUUUAGUUUCUGCUCUGUAGCCCUAGAAUUAAAAAUUCGACAAAUAAAACUGUUUCGGAUUCCAGGGCAUUUGGCUCCAUCUUCUGGUCAGUUUUUGUCACUGUAGCUUUUUGCAGCAUUGCCUGCCAUCCAGUGUGACCUGAGAAUUUUGAGGCUUCUAGGAAACUUUCUGGCUGUGGUGGGUGGGAAGUGGAAUAGGACAGCAACAGAGUUAUCCUAAAAGUCUAGGGAAUUUCUGUGGUCUUUGGGUCAUAUUGGCGCAUGUUAUUCAGCCUUCUGCUGAUAGUGGCUCGGUAGAGAGUCAGGGAGGCAGCCAGUGAUGGACAAGCCCAAGUGUUAGAGGAGGAAGGUACAUUGGAGAACAGUGAAUGUAACCUCCUCAAUGUACAGGUGCAGAAACUGAGGCAACCUUCACCUGUGGAGAAGUAGAGUCUUGCUUCAGGUCACACAUGUAGGUUCCAGGUUUCCUGACACCCAAAUCCAUACUGUCCCCCACUCUGUCUUGCUGCCUCCUCUUUCUCCCAGCUUUCUAUCCCAGCUGAUUACCUCUUCCCCUUGCUUCUGAGACAGGGCCAUCAGCCUAACAAGCACACUGCUCCAUCCACUUGCUACCACAACAACCCAC
Homo sapiens (human) is the source of this 2089-nucleotide long non-coding RNA. RefSeq lists it as uncharacterized. Lineage: Eukaryota; Metazoa; Chordata; Mammalia; Primates; Hominidae. The transcript is spliced from 3 exons. The record is from RefSeq and is a predicted model, not a curated record.